UUCUAAAUCUAGCUUCCAAAUUUUAGCACUCUGCCACUAUGCCAUACUCCCACUAUAAAACCCUGUAAAAUCAUAAACCAGCACAUGAAAAUCACUCUUCUGGAACCAACCUCAUACCUACCACCGUACUCAUUCUCUUAAUCAAAACACUGUUUGAAACCAUAAGCACUUUUACUCAAAACCCACCUUCUUCCCUCAUUGUAAACACCAUCUUUGUUGCCAACAUCAGACGAAGUUGAUGGCGUCAAAAGGCCUAGCUAGAACUAUUGUGUAACGGCACUGCCCGAACUAGCACUAAUUAUCAAAUUUUCUAUUUUUAUUUUCUCAGACUGGGGAAUCUAGCAAUACGAAGCUCUAACUGCUAUUAUUACUGCUUCUAUUAUGUUCCAACUCUUAACAUCCUGCAUAACACUGGUAAAGAAAAAUAGGGGUGAGUAAAAAUUCAGUGAGAAAAGAAACAAAUUACAAAGAGAAACAGACAAAGUUUUAAAUAAAUUUAUACAAUACUAUACUCAUUUUGGACACUUUCUGCUAGAGAAAAUAUUGCUAAAGUGUGGAUAUAUAUAUUUGAUCAAAACAUUCUAGUUGGACAAAUAAAAUUUUAUAAAAAUCAUUAAAUAAAUAAGCAAUUCCAUAUAUAUAUAUCUAAGAUUACAAAUAUUUUUUCUGCUCUGUAAUCAAUUAAUUGCAUAAUCUUGAAUCCACCCGAAAAAAAUUUUGCUAUUAAUUUAAAUUAUAUAAUCAUAUUAAAGAAAAACAAUAACAAAUAAUUCAAUCGAAAACAGUAUACACUUAUAGAUGUAUCCUACUGAUUUCUG
Molecule: long non-coding RNA, 818 nt
Filed under: Ricinus communis (castor bean)
Lineage: Eukaryota; Viridiplantae; Streptophyta; Magnoliopsida; Malpighiales; Euphorbiaceae
Description: long non-coding RNA (RCOM_LNC003411)
Source: RNAcentral